Drosophila mojavensis is the source of this 955-nucleotide long non-coding RNA. RefSeq lists it as uncharacterized. Lineage: Eukaryota; Metazoa; Arthropoda; Insecta; Diptera; Drosophilidae. The transcript has 2 exons. The record is from RefSeq and is a predicted model, not a curated record.
UUGGUUUUCUUGCUCAACACACAAAAAAAUAAAAAAAUACAAAAUUACAAAAUAAAAAUUUGCAUGUACAUACAUCUCCCUACACACCUUUGUGAAAAGUACAGGGUAUACGAAGGAUUAAAAAACGAAAUCUACAAAUACUGACAAGUAUUUGAGGGGUGGGAGGGGGUACCAAAAACAAAAUCGGAAGCGACUUUAUUAAAGAUGAGCACGGCGAUGGCAGAGCUAAGAUCGAGCUAUAGCAAUAAGUGGUCGCUGCUCCAGUGCGACAGUGGUGGGGUAGUUUGGCUCGUUGCUUAGCGCAAGUCAAAGUCGACUCAUUGGCUGCGGCGUUUCCUACUGUCGCCAUCCAGCUCCGGUCUGUCGAGGUAAAAGUUUUGUCGCUAGCUUAAAACGCUGCAGCUGCUGGCUUCUCUUGCAAAAAGUACUUGAGAACAUAUUUGCUAUCAGUUGGCGUCCAGUUGUUGCCGCCAAUCCACCCCGCUCGAUGUUGUUUGUCUGCCUGGGUGCGGAGAGGAGGGAGAGACUGAAACCCCGUUGGCUCUUUGCGUGGCGCUGCUCUGUUUGUUUGUUGCUACUUUUUGGGGUAAGUUUUGGGCCGAGGCAAUUUUUCGUGCCACAUCGUGUCUAAAUAUCAUUUCUGGGUGCUCCGUGCUGCGUGCUGCUUGCUGCGUGCUGCAUGCGGUUGGCAGCGCUGCCAAGUGUUGCAUCCGUUUCCUGUUGAUAGUCAGUGGCAUGUAAAUAGAAGCUGCUUUUACUUGAAUUUAUUUGCGGCACAUCACCAGGGACAGGCACAAGUACCUCUGGCAUACUCCUGCCUGUGAUACAUCAUCCUCUGUUCCCUCUUACCUCUGCCCUCUACCGCCAGCCCGUAUCGUUUGCUGUUUAACAAAGUCAAACAAUUUCAUGCAAUUAAAACCGUUUUUCAUUAAAAAUGCAAAUUUCAAAUGCAAAA